AUUGGCCCUUUCCUCCCCCGGGUCCCUGUCUGAUCCCGAGGACCAACCAAGCCAGAGGUUAUUCUCCAGACCCCAAACGUGUGAAUCGGCCAAACCUGUGUGAGACGUCCUGACUGCAGGCAGAGCAUCUGUGACCUGCUGCCGCCCCCUGGAGCCACCAUGGCAGAGGGGAGCAGGCAGCCUCCCACCCAGAGGGGAUUCUGGAAGGGUCUGCGCAGAGCACUCCUCCACAGUUUCCAUCGUCUAGCAGCCAUGAGGAAUGUAAAUCAAAACUUUGGAAUAUGUCGAAUUGUACCAGCGGAGGAGGAGGAGAAGACACAAGAGGAGAUGGUGGAGGAGGAG
Molecule: long non-coding RNA, 342 nt
Organism: Ornithorhynchus anatinus (platypus)
Lineage: Eukaryota; Metazoa; Chordata; Mammalia; Monotremata; Ornithorhynchidae
Exons: 3
Source: RefSeq, a predicted model, not a curated record